GACGAAGGGGGCUAGCGUUGUUCGGAAUUACUGGGCGUAAAGCGCGUGUAGGCGGUUGUCCAGGUUGGAUGUGAAAGCCUUGAGCUUAACUCAAGAAAUGCAUUCAGGACUGGAUGACUAGAGGACCGGAGAGGAUAGUGGAAUUCCCAGUGUAGUGGUGAAAUACGUAGAGAUUGGGAAGAACACCAGUGGCGAAGGCGGCUAUCUGGACGGUUUCUGACGCUAAGACGCGAAAGCGUGGGGAGCAAACAGG
RNAcentral lists this ribosomal RNA (253 nucleotides) under uncultured bacterium. RNAcentral describes it as "partial 16S ribosomal RNA". It matches the Rfam family "Bacterial small subunit ribosomal RNA", at positions 524 to 776 of the family's 1533-position model. The record is from RNAcentral.